RNAcentral lists this ribosomal RNA (826 nucleotides) under Bacillus cereus. RNAcentral's name for it is "bacterial SSU rRNA". It matches the Rfam family "Bacterial small subunit ribosomal RNA", at positions 53 to 873 of the family's 1533-position model. The record is from RNAcentral. Lineage: Bacteria; Bacillati; Bacillota; Bacilli; Caryophanales; Bacillaceae.
ACAUGCAGUCGAGCGAAUGGAUUAAGAGCUUGCUCUUAUGAAGUUAGCGGCGGACGGGUGAGUAACACGUGGGUAACCUGCCCAUAAGACUGGGAUAACUCCGGGAAACCGGGGCUAAUACCGGAUAACAUUUUGAACCGCAUGGUUCGAAAUUGAAAGGCGGCUUCGGCUGUCACUUAUGGAUGGACCCGCGUCGCAUUAGCUAGUUGGUGAGGUAACGGCUCACCAAGGCAACGAUGCGUAGCCGACCUGAGAGGGUGAUCGGCCACACUGGGACUGAGACACGGCCCAGACUCCUACGGGAGGCAGCAGUAGGGAAUCUUCCGCAAUGGACGAAAGUCUGACGGAGCAACGCCGCGUGAGUGAUGAAGGCUUUCGGGUCGUAAAACUCUGUUGUUAGGGAAGAACAAGUGCUAGUUGAAUAAGCUGGCACCUUGACGGUACCUAACCAGAAAGCCACGGCUAACUACGUGCCAGCAGCCGCGGUAAUACGUAGGUGGCAAGCGUUAUCCGGAAUUAUUGGGCGUAAAGCGCGCGCAGGUGGUUUCUUAAGUCUGAUGUGAAAGCCCACGGCUCAACCGUGGAGGGUCAUUGGAAACUGGGAGACUUGAGUGCAGAAGAGGAAAGUGGAAUUCCAUGUGUAGCGGUGAAAUGCGUAGAGAUAUGGAGGAACACCAGUGGCGAAGGCGACUUUCUGGUCUGUAACUGACACUGAGGCGCGAAAACGUGGGGAGCAAACAGGAUUACAUACCCUGGUAGUCCGCUCCCUAAACGAUGAGUGCUAACGGUGAGAGAGUUUCCGCCAUCUAGAGCUGAGGGGGGGGGG